UACAGAGGGUGCAAGCGUUAAUCGGAAUUAUUGGGCGUAAAGCGUGCGUAGACGGUUACAUAAGUCGGGUGUGAAAGCCCCGGGCUCAACCUGGGAAUUGCAUUCGAGACUGCGUAGCUAGGGUGCGGAAGAGGGAAGCGGAAUUUCCGGUGUAGCGGUGAAAUGCGUAGAUAUCGGAAGGAACACCAGUGGCGAAAGCGGCUUCCUGGUCCAGCACCGACGUUCAGGCACGAAAGCGUGGGGAGCAAACAGG
This 253-nucleotide ribosomal RNA is filed under the name uncultured bacterium. RNAcentral's name for it is "partial 16S ribosomal RNA". It matches the Rfam family "Bacterial small subunit ribosomal RNA", at positions 524 to 776 of the family's 1533-position model. The record is from RNAcentral.